AAAUAUGAUGAUUUGAUUUUUGUCGCCCCAGUCUUACUUUGCAUCUCUCAAGAGAUGUAAUAUGGUGAUUGACAUUUUUAUCUGAUUU
RNAcentral lists this small nucleolar RNA (88 nucleotides) under Erythranthe guttata (spotted monkey flower). Its description in RNAcentral is "Mimulus guttatus (spotted monkey flower) Small nucleolar RNA U31b". It matches the Rfam family "Small nucleolar RNA U31b". Lineage: Eukaryota; Viridiplantae; Streptophyta; Magnoliopsida; Lamiales; Phrymaceae. The record is from Rfam by way of RNAcentral.